This 405-nucleotide ribosomal RNA is filed under the name uncultured Eubacteriales bacterium. RNAcentral describes it as "uncultured Clostridiales bacterium partial 16S ribosomal RNA". It matches the Rfam family "Bacterial small subunit ribosomal RNA", at positions 355 to 774 of the family's 1533-position model. The record is from RNAcentral. Lineage: Bacteria; Bacillati; Bacillota; Clostridia; Eubacteriales.
UGGGGAAUAUUGGGCAAUGGGGGAAACCCUGACCCAGCAACGCCGCGUGAGGGAAGAAGGCCUUCGGGUUGUAAACCUCUGUCCUUGGGGACGAAAAAAAUGACGGUACCCAAGGAGGAAGCCCCGGCUAACUACGUGCCAGCAGCCGCGGUAAUACGUAGGGGGCGAGCGUUGUCCGGAAUUACUGGGCGUAAAGGGAGCGUAGGCGGUUCUUUAAGUUAUUUGUGAAAUACCCGUGCUUAACAUGGGGGGUGCAAGUAAUACUGGGGGACUUGAGUGUAGGAGAGGUAAGUAGAAUUCCUAGUGUAGCGGUGAAAUGCGUAGAUAUUAGGAGGAAUACCGGUGGCGAAGGCGACUUACUGGACUAUAACUGACGCUGAGGCUCGAAAGCGUGGGGAGCAAACA